Molecule: long non-coding RNA, 1224 nt
Filed under: Oryctolagus cuniculus (rabbit)
Lineage: Eukaryota; Metazoa; Chordata; Mammalia; Lagomorpha; Leporidae
Description: lncRNA (ENSOCUG00000035737.1)
Source: RNAcentral
AGCUCCUGACUUGUGGCAUGGGACCAGUGCACCUCCAGCCAUUGUGGCCAUUUGGGGAGUCAAGCAGCAGACGGAAGACCCGUCUCUCAGUCUCUCGCUCUCUCAGUAACUCUGACUCAAAUAAAUAAAUAAAUGCAUCAUUUAAAGAAAGAAAUAAGGUUUUUGUGUGUAUCGCUCAGAGCAGACGGCAUGUGAUUUAUUUGUUUCAACAAGCACCCUUUUCAGAGCACACACAUGAUGUGGCUGAUGAUUUACAGCAGCACUGCAGCCUCACACGGAUGCAUCUUCCCUAUCCAGCCCAGUAGCUUCCCCUGAGAGUGGACUUGCAGAAUCAAAGGACAACUUGGUAAAUCCUGUUUACUCAGGAAUGCAUCAGAGAUGUUAAUGCCUGUGAUGACCUGGGCCAGGAUCUGAUUAGGAUUAGGCACUGUUUUUUUUCUAUUUUUACUCUCUAAUACAUUUUGUUUUUAAGGUUGAGCUGGGAAACUGAGUGUCUAGUUUAAAUGGCAGUAGGUUUCCUACUUCGAGUUACAAAACUUUGAAUUGUGUACUCAGAAAUGUUAAGGGUGCUUAAUGACAGAACAUGAAAAUAGGGAUGAUGAAGGUUCUGCUUGAUUGGCUUAGGUGUAGGCAGCACAUGCCUUAGGGUGGGGCCCUGUGGGUGGAGCCUGUGUCCUGAGCACUAUAAAAGGCCAGAGACUCAGAGCUCCAAGUCCCUUCAGGGAGGAGCCCAGAGCAGGAGAGGUGAGGGAUCUGGCAGGGGCCUCUCAGACCUCCAAGCAAGUCUCCAGCUCAAGGUGACCAGCGCCAUACUGACUGGGGUGGAGACUGCAUCCUAUCAAGGUCUCAUGGAACACCCACCUGGGCUCAGUUCCCACACAGAGACACGCUAGUCAGAGCAGACAGCGACUCCUGGGAGAGACCCCAAACAAGACCCCACACAAGGUAAGCUGCCUUGUGGCAAUGACAAUCUCUCCUGUCCUCUUUCUUGACAUCACUUGGAUUUCGGGGAGUUUUUGAGUGUUUCCAUUACAAGUGAUUCCAUUACUAGGACUCUCUGUGGACUGGAUGUCACCUCCAUGUUUCUGCAUCCAUUUAUGUUCUUUAAUUUGCAUUGAUUUAGAUACAUCCUGAUCACUGCAGAGCAGACGGUGCACUGAGGGCUCCUGACCAACUCCAGAAGCUGCUAAAGGGAACUGACACCAGGUCACUGCCAAGGCCUGC